ACCACUACAUCCCUUAUGAUCACCGAAGUUAAGCAACGUCGAAUUUGGUCAGUAUCUAGAUGGGUGACCGCUUGGAAUACCAGGUGCUGUAA
Molecule: non-coding RNA, 92 nt
Organism: Acanthosepion pharaonis
Lineage: Eukaryota; Metazoa; Mollusca; Cephalopoda; Sepiida; Sepiidae
Source: the annotation of a GenBank genome assembly